AUGCGCCAAGCUCGCGUUCAAGUACUUCGGGCCUUACAUGAUCAUGGAGAAGAUUGGACCGCUCGCCUACAAGCUCGACCUGCUGCUGGAGAGCCGGGUCCACCCGUCUUCCACGUCUCCCAGUUGAAGUUGUUCACUCCGGACUUCACAUCGGUGUAUGGGGAGCUGCCUAAGGUGUCGGACCUCUCCGUUGACUCUGUCACGCCCACGCGUAUCCCCGACUGACGCAUGAUGAAGCACGGCGACGCGCUAGUGGUGCAGAUCAAGGUCCAGCGGGGCACGGGCAGUUCGGCUACGGAGACUUGGGAAGAUUAUACCGUCCUCCGCCAGCGUUUUCCGACCGCCGCGCUUUGGUCAGAGGAAGAAGAGGAAGCACCUUAA
This 381-nucleotide ribosomal RNA is filed under the name Triticum aestivum (bread wheat). RNAcentral describes it as "partial small subunit ribosomal RNA". Lineage: Eukaryota; Viridiplantae; Streptophyta; Magnoliopsida; Poales; Poaceae. The record is from RNAcentral.